RNAcentral lists this ribosomal RNA (253 nucleotides) under uncultured bacterium. RNAcentral's name for it is "partial 16S ribosomal RNA". It matches the Rfam family "Bacterial small subunit ribosomal RNA", at positions 524 to 776 of the family's 1533-position model. The record is from RNAcentral.
UACGAAGGGGGCGAGCGUUGUUCGGAAUUACUGGGCGUAAAGGGCGCGUAGGCGGCCGUGGAAGUCAGGCGUGAAAGCCCCGGGCUCAACCUGGGAAUUGCGCUUGAUACUCCGGGGCUUGAGUUCGGGAGAGGAGAGUGGAAUUCCCAGUGUAGAGGUGUAAUUCGUAGAUAUUGGGAAGAACACCGGUGGCGAAGGCGGCUCUCUGGACCGAGACUGACGCUGAGGUGCGAAAGCGUGGGGAGCAAACAGG